AGCAGCGUGGCUCAGUGGAAAGAGCCUGGGCUUUGGAGUCAGAGGUCAUGGGUUCAAAUCCCAGCUCGGCCA
Molecule: transfer RNA, 72 nt
Filed under: Ornithorhynchus anatinus (platypus)
Lineage: Eukaryota; Metazoa; Chordata; Mammalia; Monotremata; Ornithorhynchidae
Rfam family: tRNA
About the family: Transfer RNA (tRNA) molecules are approximately 80 nucleotides in length. Their secondary structure includes four short double-helical elements and three loops (D, anti-codon, and T loops).
Source: Rfam by way of RNAcentral